CUACGGGCGGCUGCAGUCGAGAAUAGUCUACAAUGGGGGAAACCCUGAUAGUGCGACGCCGCGUGAACGAAGAAGCUUUUCGGAGUGUAAAGUUCUUUUCUGUAUGAGCAAUGCUUUAUUGUUUAAGAGAUAAUAGAGAGAGAUAUUAGUACAGGAAUAAGCCACGGCUAACUCCGUGCCAGCAGCCGCGGUAAUACGGGGGUGGCAAGCGUUGUCCGGAAUUACUAGGCGUAAAGGGCAGGUAGGCGGAUAUUCAAGUCAGGCGUUAAAGGCAUCAGCUCAACCGGUGUACGGCGUUUGAAACUGGAUAUCUAGAGUCAGGUAGAGGUAGAUGGAAUUCCUAGUGUAGCGGUGGAAUGCGCAGAGAUUAGGAAGAACACCAAAGGCGAAGGCAAUCUACUGGGCCAUGACUGACGCUAAACUGCGAAGGUGUGGGUAUCAAACAGGAUUAGAUACCCCUGUAGUC
Molecule: ribosomal RNA, 466 nt
Filed under: uncultured bacterium
Lineage: Bacteria
Description: partial 16S ribosomal RNA
Rfam family: Bacterial small subunit ribosomal RNA
Source: RNAcentral